UCCUGUUGAUCCUGCAGGAGAUUGCUGCUAUCAGGAUUCGACUAAGCCAUGCAAGUCCAGGGGUUCUUCGGAACACCGGCGAAAUGCUCAGUAACACGUUGAUAAUCUGCCCUUUGGUCUGGGAUAACCUCGGGAAACUGGGGCUAACACCGGAUAGAAAAUUCGUUCUGGAAAGAAUUGUUUUCUAAAGGCAACGCCAAAGGAUGAGUCAGCGGCGGAUUAGGUUGUUGGUGGGGUAAAGGCCCACCAAGCCUACGAUCCGUAGGGGCCUUGAAAGAGGUAGCCCCGAGAAGGGAACUGAGAUACUGUCCCUAGCCCUACGGGGUGCAGCAGGCGCGAAACCUCUACAAUGCACGCAAGUGUGAUAGGGGGAUCCUGAGUGCUCAGCUCUGCUGGGCUUUUGCUAAGAGUAAAAAUCUUGGCGAAUAAGUGGUGGGUAAGACUGGUGCCAGCCGCCGCGGUAACACCAGCGCCACGAGUGGUAAUCGUUAUUAUUGGGCCUAAAGCGUCCGUAGCAGGUCUUGUAAAUCUCUUGUGAAAUUGUUGCGCUCAACGUAACACCGUGCAAGAGACACUGCAAGACUCGGGACCGGGAGGGGUUAGAGGUAUUCCUUGGGGAGCGGUAAAAUGCUAUAAUCCAAGGAGGACCACCUAUGGCGAAGGCAUCUAACCAGAACGGAUCCGACUGUGAGGGACGAAAGCUAGGGGAGCGAACCGGAUUAGAUACCCGAGUAGUCCUAGCCGUAAACGCUGCGAGCUAGGUGUUGCACAAUCUACGGGAUUGUGCAGUAUCGAAGCGAAGGCGAUAAGCUCGCCGCCUGGGAAGUACGGUCGCAAGGCUGAAACUUAAAGGAAUUGGCGGGGGAGCACUACAAGGGGUGCGGCGUGCGGUUUAACCUAACUCCACACAGAGAAUCUCACCAGAAGCGACGGCAGAAUGAAAGUCAGAUUGAAGGUUUUACUUGACGAGCCGAGAGGUGGUGCAUGGCCGCCGUCAGCUCGUGCCGUGAGGUGUCCAGCUAAGCCUGGUAACGAGCGAGACCUGCGUCCACAAUUGCUAACAGGUGCUUUUGCAUGACUGUGCACAUUGUGGAGACUGCCUUGGAAACAAGGAGGAAGGUGCAGGCUACGGUAGGUCUGUAUGCCCCGAAUCUUCUGGGCCACACGCGCGCAACAAUGGUAAGGACAAUGGGCUGCGACUCCGAAAGGAGAAGCUAAUCCUCCAAACCUUAUCCAAGUCCAGAUUGAGGGUUGUAACUCACCCUCAUGACGAUGGAAUCCCUAGUAAUCGGGUAUUAGCAGUGCCCGGUGAAUACGUCCCUGCUCCUUGCACACACCGCCCGUCAAACCACUCGAGCAGGGUUUAGAUGAGGUGCAGUUCUUUGAUUGUAUCGAAUCUAAGCUCAGUGAGAAGGGUUAAGUCGUCACAAGGUA
This 1434-nucleotide ribosomal RNA is filed under the name metagenome. RNAcentral's name for it is "bacterial SSU rRNA". It matches the Rfam family "Archaeal small subunit ribosomal RNA". The record is from RNAcentral.